Molecule: long non-coding RNA, 229 nt
Organism: Notolabrus celidotus (New Zealand spotty)
Lineage: Eukaryota; Metazoa; Chordata; Actinopteri; Labriformes; Labridae
Exons: 2
Source: RefSeq, a predicted model, not a curated record
CUCUCCUACUCGUUGCCAGAUUGUACUUCAGUUUUUUCAGUGAGAUUGCCAUGCACGCUUCCCGCUCUCGUGCUGAUCACUUCCCUGUCUGAUGCUGAACCUGCCUGCCUUGGCCUGAGCUCCAGUUACCCCCUGUGGAAGGACGCCAGAGAGAGGGACUGCUCCGCUCGAUACCCAUGGCGCCAUUUCCACAGAGUGAACUCCAAAUAAAAGACUUGUAUUUUCACUA